This 723-nucleotide long non-coding RNA is filed under the name Anser brachyrhynchus (Pink-footed goose). Its description in RNAcentral is "lncRNA (ENSABRG00000014228.1)". Lineage: Eukaryota; Metazoa; Chordata; Aves; Anseriformes; Anatidae. The record is from RNAcentral.
CCCUUGCCGAUAAUUAAUUGUCAGCACACUGCAGUCCAUUAAAGAUGUGUGAGACUUUGAGACACAGCUUGGAUCUCAUAUUAGCACUGGAGAGGCUUUAUCUUACAAGGCAAAGAGAGCAAGUGCUGGGUUUACAGGCAAGCAUUUGCCUGGAACUGGGCGGAGAGCAUACAAGUCUAUCUGUCAGCUAUCUACAAACCUAAUGUGCAUCAUCCUUUGAAUAUAGCAUUACAGAACAUUUCCAGGGGAGGGAGGCUGUUUUGCCUGCUAGUCCCAUCCAGGAUCCAGGAAUCAGAACUGGAAUCAACCAUCACAUCUCUCCAGAUCUGCUCUGUCAAGAUUAUUGUUCUGCAUCACUUCUGAGGCAGAUCAGCAGCUAGUUCUCUGUGAUCAAGCAGAGAAAUCAAGAUGAUAUACAGUAAAGACUUUGCUUGUGGAGUAUAGAUUUGGAUUAAAUCCUUACCUCUUCAUUUCUCAGACAUUCUGGGAAUGUGUUAGGUCUUUAGAGAUUUUUGUCCUACAAAAUAACACAUGAGCACCUGCUCACAGUUUAGCAGUUUACACAGUUUGAUUCCUCUGUGAAAGCACUUCAUCUGGACUUCAAUUAUUAGACUGCAUUUUAAUACCAAAAUAUUCACAUUUCUCCCAUUUUACGUUCUGAAGCAAAUAUUACCAGCGAUGACUUUCUCAUUUUUCAUUUCAGUGGCUAAAUUUGAGUUGAAU